CCUACGGGGAGCUGCAGUCGAGAAUCAUUCACAAUGGGGGAAACCCUGAUGGUGCGACGCCGCGUGGGUGAAUGAAGGUCUUCGGAUUGUAAACCCCUGUCAUGUGGGAGCAAAUUAAAAAGAUAGUACCCCAAGAGGAAGAGACGGCUAACUCUGUGCCAGCAGCCGCGGUAAUACAGAGGUCUCAAGCGUUGUUCGGAAUCACUGGGCGUAAAGCGUGCGUAGGCUGUUUCGUAAGUCGUGUGUGAAAGGCGCGGGCUCAACCCGCGGACGGCACAUGAUACUGCGAGACUAGAGUAAUGGAAGGGGAACCGGAAUUCUCGGUGUAGCAGUGAAAUGCGUAGAUAUCGAGAGGAACACUCGUGGCGAAGGCGGGUUCCUGGACAUUAACUGACGCUGAGGCACGAAGGCCAGGGGAGCGAAAGGGAUUAGAUACCCCGGUAGUC
Molecule: ribosomal RNA, 446 nt
Filed under: uncultured bacterium
Lineage: Bacteria
Description: partial 16S ribosomal RNA
Rfam family: Bacterial small subunit ribosomal RNA
Source: RNAcentral